Molecule: transfer RNA, 83 nt
Filed under: Sphaerodactylus townsendi
Lineage: Eukaryota; Metazoa; Chordata; Lepidosauria; Squamata; Sphaerodactylidae
Description: tRNA-Thr
Source: RNAcentral
GGAGGAACUGUGGCUCAGCGGUAGGCCAGCUGCUCGGCUUGUGGAAGGUUCCGGGGUCCCGGGUUCAAACCCCGGCAUCUCCA